This 483-nucleotide ribosomal RNA is filed under the name uncultured bacterium. Its description in RNAcentral is "partial 16S ribosomal RNA". It matches the Rfam family "Bacterial small subunit ribosomal RNA", at positions 30 to 507 of the family's 1533-position model. The record is from RNAcentral.
UUGAACGCUGGCGGCAGGCCUAACACAUGCAAGUCGAGCGGAUGAAGGGAGCUUGCUCCUGGAUUCAGCGGCGGACGGGUGAGUAAUGCCUAGGAAUCUACCUGGUAGUGGGGGAUAACGUCCGGAAACGGGCGCUAAUACCGCAUACGUCCUGAGGGAGAAAGUGGGGGAUCUUCGGACCUCACGCUAUCAGAUGAGCCUAGGUCGGAUUAGCUAGUUGGUGGGGUAAAGGCCUACCAAGGCGACGAUCCGUAACUGGUCUGAGAGGAUGAUCAGUCACACUGGAACUGAGACACGGUCCAGACUCCUACGGGAGGCAGCAGUGGGGAAUAUUGGACAAUGGGCGAAAGCCUGAUCCAGCCAUGCCGCGUGUGUGAAGAAGGUCUUCGGAUUGUAAAGCACUUUAAGUUGGGAGGAAGGGCAGUAAGUUAAUACCUUGCUGUUUUGACGUUACCAACAGAAUAAGCACCGGCUAACUUCGUG